UUUGGUAUUAUUUUUCAUUCUAACUUGUUGGCUUGGUAAGAACAUAAUGGCCUUUUCAAAAUUCUUAAGCGAGGAGGCCAAGGGUCUAUAGGCAUAUCAAAUUCUAGUUGUGAGAAUCAAGAGGAUUCCAAUCGAAGUGAGUCAGAAUGUGGGCAAGUGAGAGCUGUGACUUCUUGCCAGUGAGAUGUACCAACGAGCGGGAUGGUUCGAGUUAAGAGGCAAAAAAAAUUGAGGCAAAAGUUCCAAAGGAAGGGACAACCUGAUAUGAGACUAGUCUGGAAAAAACCAAAGCAAUAAGAAAGAUUCAAGGCAAAUCAAGUAAGUGUCAUUCCAAUCUAAAUGAGUCAGAAUGUAGGCAAGUGAGAGCUGUGACUUUUUGCCAGUGAGAUGUACCAACGAGUGGGAUGGUUCGAGCUAAGAGGCAAAAAAAAUCGAGGCAAAAGUUCCAAAGGAAGGGACAACCUGAUAUGAGACUAGUCUGGAAAAAGCCAAAGCAAUAAGAAAGAUUCAAGGCAAAUCAAGUAAGUGUCAUUCCAAAUGCGCAAUAAAGGCGUUACAAGAAUGAAUAAGGGAGAAUGUCACGGGCCACAAUUAAAAGCUUGUGAAAAUUUCACAUAAUGCAUCCUAAGGAGGUCUAUCAGCUAGAUGAGGCUCAUUUGACCCAUAAAAGUUGGUCUGAUUCAAACAACUAUUGGUUAAGCCUAUCUAUUUGAAGCUUGGGUGUGGCCCAAUGAUGUCGAUAUGGAAAGUUAGACUAAUCUUAAGAUUAGAUAUGAUUUGAUUAUGUAAAUCUUAUAAAUCCCUUCAUUGUAGGGAUAGACUAAUUUCAUCUGUCGAUAUAACUUGAUCUAAACCAUCGAUUUUAAGAGAGCUCAACUAUAAAUACAAUUGAGAGCAUUUACUCAAACACCUCUCAUGCAUAGUUUUCUGUGACUAUUCUAUCCUUUUGAACAUUAUUUUGGCUUUGUGUUGUUUUCGUUAUAUAAAUUGGUAUAUUGGAGGAAUAAAGCCGCACAGAUUGUAAAGCAAAAAAUCAAAGUCCAUAACAAUAGAACUUACAAAUUCGAAACUAAGAUUACAACAAAAUAAAGGUUUUUAUAAAACAGAAUUUGACUUUUAAGCAUUCUGAAAUACAUCCAAACUAUGCGAAAAAGCUUUCAUCCUUUCUUAUUUGCUGUGACUCGUGUGAACUUGAUGCAUUUGAAACUUGUAUAAAAAAAUCAACAUCAAGCAAACAAAUUACAAAUUAGAAAAUGAAAACUCAAUAAGCAGUCAACACCCAUACAUUAUGCACCAAGGAUGAACAGGAAACACUCAGACAAAUUUAAAUCCCCUUCUAGCUUGUUAAUAAGAAGCAGAAAUCAAAAUUGUAGAGUGAAAUAAUAUUUGAACAUGAACAUAAAUCACUUUGUGCUAUAGGUGAUCCUAGGAUCCAACAAAGCCAUUCUCAAGUCUAUACAAGCAAACAGUAAAGCAUUUACUACACUAUACACAAGUAAAAUGGAAAUGAUGUGUUAUAUAAGCAAGUAACAAGAACACCUUUCAAACAAGAACAUUGUAUCCAUUUUUUUAUCAAAGGUAUUGCUUAGCUUUUGAAGCUACACAUUAAGAUUAGAAUCAACAUAUGCAUAUCUUAAAAUAAAUUGAUACUAUUAUAUUUUACCUGUUUGUUGCCCCUUCGUUGGAUAUUGAAUUGAUGCCCAUGCUUGGCACGUGUGGAAACCUCGUUUGCAUGAUAGUUGUAUGGCCUUGAUGAAAGAGAUAUAAUCAUUAAACUCAAUGGCUUUUCUCAAAACUGAUAUCAGUAAAUACAACAGCCUGCACAACGAAAGAUGAAGACAAGGUUAUGCGAUGGAAUAGAAUAGAAUGUACAAAUCCUAGAAAUACUCGUGCAAUAUAGAGCAAGAUUUUAGCUCAAAUUGCAUACUAAUUUCUAGGUAAAUCACUUUCAGGAAAUUUGCAUCAUACAUAUUGUAAAUGCCCAAAUUAGACCGGGCCCAAUGAACAAACAAAACAGGCUCAACCCAUACCUUUUACAAUUCACAGCCCAAAUACAAAGCUCGAACUAUGACCCAAUCCAAAGCCCAACUAAACCUAACCCAAAGCCCAAAUUUAUCAGAAAAAAAAAGAAAAAACCCUAGGGUUCCUAUGCUAGGCGCUGUACCUCCCUCCCCCACGUGGUGUCAGCGCAUUUUGCGCCCGAACAGACGCCCGUCCCAUCGCCUCUGCUCACCUACUCUGACGUUACCUGCAAAACAAAGGAGAAGCACACAAAGCAGAAGGAAAGAGAGCGAAAAACAACAAACAAUAGAAGAGAGCAGAAAAUAUUUUCUAUGUAUUCGGCUAUAUAAGCCGAGGGAAGAACCAAAUGUAAGAGGGGAUUUCGGUAUACAAAAAAAAAUUGUAUUACAGGCAAAUUUUUUCAGAAGUAAAAAGCAAAAAAAUAAAAAGUUGAUUUUAAAUCUCAUUUUUGGGUUCUCUUUUUUCUUUCGGUUUUCUUUUUUAUUUAUUUUUCUGCUCUUUUAAAUUUCUUUUUCAACAAAAUAAAUAAAAGGAGAAAGAAGGAAAACUUACCCAAACCCGGGGGUUGCGUCGCCGGGAUCUUCUUUCCCAUCGUUAGAAUCGACGCAAGGAGAAGGUCGAGGCUCUUUUCUCCUCUUUUUUCUCCGAUUUAUGGAAGCUUCAUCAUCGAAUUAGCCUUCAAAAGGGUCAAAAACCCGAUUUCGUGAGGCUUUAACCACCGUCUACGGUGGAAGCCACAACGGGUUCACGGUGGGCCACAAAGAGGCGUGACGGCGGCGCAAAAGCUAGGGUUUCGAAACCCUAACAGAGAGAUGGGGGAGGGGCUACUGUUUGUUUCUGAAAAGAAAGAAAAUGAGGGUUUUUCCCUUUUUUUUU
This 2898-nucleotide long non-coding RNA is filed under the name Gossypium barbadense (sea-island cotton). RNAcentral describes it as "long non-coding RNA (GBAR_LNC010901)". Lineage: Eukaryota; Viridiplantae; Streptophyta; Magnoliopsida; Malvales; Malvaceae. The record is from RNAcentral.